AUCACCUGAGGAUCUUGAUAAAAUGCAGGUUUUGAUUUAGUAGGUCUAGAGUGGGGCCUGAGAUUCUGCAUUUCUAACAAGCUCCCAAGUGAUGCUGA
Molecule: microRNA precursor, 98 nt
Filed under: Pteropus alecto (black flying fox)
Lineage: Eukaryota; Metazoa; Chordata; Mammalia; Chiroptera; Pteropodidae
Description: mir-544 microRNA precursor family
Rfam family: mir-544 microRNA precursor family
Source: Rfam by way of RNAcentral